CUGAAAACACUAGACACUGAUGUCCCAUUAUCUACAGAACAGGAACAGCAUGGGCAGUCGAAGCACAAGUCUGUUCUAACAUGCCUAAAAUAUUGCUCUGGAGAGACUGCCUCUGGAAAUAAGAGGGAAAUUCAAUCCUCUGGUUACAUUCUGCUCCUAGUUAUA
RNAcentral lists this small RNA (165 nucleotides) under Gopherus agassizii (Agassiz's desert tortoise). RNAcentral's name for it is "TUC338 (ENSGAGG00000020484.1)". The record is from RNAcentral. Lineage: Eukaryota; Metazoa; Chordata; Testudines; Testudinidae.